GAGCUGCGAUGUUCGUAAUUUACUAAAGUUUAACCUCUAAAUAGAAAUUAGGGAGUUUUAAUCGUAGGUCGGAUGUUAUGCCUCGAUCGAGUGGAAAACAGAAAACCUACUGCAAACACCCACUUUGUAUAAAGUGGUGGUUAAAACUUUUUAAUUUAUUACGGCAUUGUGGCUUA
This 176-nucleotide non-coding RNA is filed under the name Candidatus Pseudogracilibacillus intestinigallinarum. RNAcentral describes it as "6S / SsrS RNA". It matches the Rfam family "6S / SsrS RNA". Rfam says of the family: E. coli 6S RNA was the first non coding RNA to be sequenced, but its function was unknown until recently. The record is from RNAcentral. Lineage: Bacteria; Bacillati; Bacillota; Bacilli; Caryophanales; Bacillaceae.